UUUUUUAAAGAUUUAUUUAUUCAUUAUAUGUAAGUACACUGUAGCUGUCCUCAGACACUCCAGAAGAGGGCGUCAGAUCCUGUUACGGAUGGUUGUGAGCCACCAUGUGGUUGCUGGGAUUUGAACUCCUGACCUUUGGAAGAGCAGUCGGGUGCUCUUACCCACUGAGCCAUCUCACCAGCCCUAUUUUUAAUUUUAUGUGUGUGGGUGUUUUGUCUUUAUCACAUAUCUGCAUGUUUCCUGUGGAGACUAGAAGGUGGCUUUGGGUUUCCUCGCACUGGAGUCUCAGCUAUGAGCUGCCGUGUGGGUGCUGGGAAUCAAACUUUAGUCUUCUGGAAGAGCAGUCACUGCUCCUAACUACUGAGUCAUCUCUUGAGCUCCAGUAUAAACUUCUAAUAUAUAAUUAGUUUAAAAGUCAGUAGAAUACCCUAAAUGCAAUGUAAAUGAUUAUAUUUAACUUUUUUCUUUAAAUAUUAAUAAGUAAUCAGGCAUAGUUAAUGCCUGCAACAAAAUAUAAAUGAAAUAACUGUCAACUUAAAUGUGGAGUCACCAUGACUCCACAUAUAUGAUACCUGAUAGCUAUAGGUAACCAGUAGAUGUUUGAUGCCUGGGCGGCAUAUGUGCUGUAACUUGUGAUUUCCUUCAGCCGUUCACAAUUCUUGGUCAAGUUCUAGAAGGUGAAAAGUGUACCUUUUCUGUGAUUUACAAUAGCAAGCUAUUCUAUAUACAGUAUACAACGUAGAAAAUGAAGAAUUAAAACAACACAAAAUAGUUGUGAACAGUAUUGUAUUAUAAACUCCAUUUAAUAUAAACUGAUAUUUUUCAGUAAUUAAUACCUUCCAGGAAAGAUGAUGGGAGCAGAAUUUUCAACUUUGGUAGCAUUAACAUUUGAGGCUAAAAUUUUUGUUGUUGUUGUUGUAGAGGGUUGUUCAGUGCAAUAUAGAACCUUUAUCAGCAUUUCUGGCUGGUUUAACUGUCAGAGACACAGCUUCCCCAUGGUGUGAGGCCAUAGCUGCCUCUGUAUAUUACCAAAUGUUCCUUGGGGGACAGACUGUUCUGCGUGAAGAGUGGGUUAAAGAUUCAGUUAAUAUUUAUAAAAAAGAAAAUGGAUUGAGAUAUGUUCAUGGGUUCAAUUAUUUAGUACACUCAGUGAAUAUCGUUUUUUUUGACCUUAUAGGCAGUGAUGUGAGAACCACAGUUUGCUAAGUGUGCUAUUCAGUAGCUUAGGUGUAUUUUAGUUUGUAUGUUCAACUUACCAAUGAGUUUAUCAGGAUGUAACCCAUUCAUUGUAAGUCAAACAUCUGUAUGGUGUAACAUGUUGCAUGAUAAUUUUAUAAUCGUAGAAUGCUCAAGAGACAUUGUAGGGAACAGUCAUGGACAAGAGCCCUGAGGAUAACAUGAGUUUUUAGUAGAUAUCGGUAUAAAUCACCGAUGUAAAAUUAAUUUGAAAAAGUUUUUGUUUAUGAUGUAAAUAUGUAUUUCCAUGUAAGGCCAAUUGAAAAUCUACAGGUUUUGGAGCUGGGGUAUUGUAGUAGUGUUUGCCUAGCAUAUAUGAGGCUCUGAGUUCAAGCCCUAGCCCUGUGUCCUUCUACCCUCAGUCAUGGCUCAUUGUGAUGUUUGUCUUUGAUAUGGUGGCAUCAAUGGUGAUGUUUGUUUUAGCCCACUAGGUGUCAGUCUCCAGUAGAGCAGAAAUGCUCUUGAAUGGACAAGCAAGUGAAAGAUCACCCUUAGUUUUGUCUAUAAUAAAAGCACGUGUCCUAUUGUUUGUUCUGUAGGGAUUUUCUUAAUUAAGAAGUAAACAGAAUAUUUAAACUAAAGCAUGCAUUUAAUUUCAAAAGGACAUUUAUUUCCUUAAACCAGACUCUUACUAAUUUAGAUAUAAUAUAAAUGUUGGUGGUCAAGAGAAUGUAAGAGAACAGUCCAAGGAAUUAAAUCUAUAGCUUCGAUAAGAUCUCCUUUCCCUGGAAACUGGGGAUUUUUACCUUGUGAGUUUAUGAUAAUUAAAUAGAAAGGAAUCUGGUUCCUAAUUAGUACAUAGAAAUUGCUAGCUGCUAGCAGUAGUAUUGAAAAUAUAGUAUCUAAGAGGCUUAGUCCACCUAUCUGGCCGCUUGUUAUCCUAACUCAGGGUUUUGUAGUUUUGGAUUUGACUAGCUAAAUAGGAAAGAAGUAGAUGGAUUUUAGAAGUCUGGGCUGUAUUUGCAACUCUCUUCUACAGCUACAUCGUUUAGUGGCUCUUGGUAUUUCUGAUGAGAAUCCCUGUAUGGGACGAUCUCCUCAUUGCUGGUAGUUGGUUUUAGAAGCUUAAAUGUUUUAUCUUUAUUCCUAGAGUUCUCGGAUUCUUCUAGCAGCUAUCGUUGUUGAGUCUUUACUUUGCACUCUGUUGCUCUUUUAAGUGAUUAUCUAGUUUUAUUUUUGUGGUGCUGUGGAUGGACCUAGGGCCUUUGGCAUGCUGGGCACAUUUUCUGCCACAACAUGACGUCCCCAGAGCAUUAUAUUUUGAUGGUUUGGUGACAUGCAUGUAUUUUAGCGCAAUUUUUACGCCGAUUGACAGUUUUCUUGUGUCUGUCUCUGUCUGUCUGUCUGUCUGUCUGUCUGUCUAGCCAUAUGCUUUUAUGAGUGAAGCUUGGUGUCAUGUAUACAUAUGGCCAGUUUGUUUGUUUGUUUGUUUGUUUGUUUGUUUGUUUGAGACAGGAUCUGUCUACAUAACCCUCUCUGUCCUGGAACUCACAGCCUUGGCUUCCCACUUGGUUGGACUGUAACCUGUAAGCUGAAAUAAACGCUUCCUCCUUGAGUUGGAUUCAGUCAGUGUUUAUCACAGUAACAGCAAAACAGAACACCUUUGUUUCAGAAAUGCUUUCACAGGCAUAACCAGAGGUGUGUCAGGCCAUCAGUGAGGGUUGUGUCUGGGACUGUCUACCUAACCACCAGCUUAUCUAUCUGAGGUAACAGUUUCACUGUUUCCACUUUGGUCUGUUCCUGAGUUCAGUCUAGUUCCAGGGUUAUAGUGUAUCCAACCUAUUUUUUUUUUUUUUUAAGCAACUUGACAAUAUUAGAGAAAAUAAAGGUUCAGCUGGGUAUGGUAGUACACACCUUUGACCCCCCCACUUGAGAGGCAGAGAUAGGUGGGAUCUCUGAGUUUGAGAUUACCCUGAUCCACAAAGUCCCAGGACAGCCAGGCUACAGAGAGAGAUACUCUGGGAAAAAAACAAUGACAAAAACAGCAAAGUAACCAAAAUUACCUUGGUUUUUAAUUUGUAGUUUAUUAGACAUGUUUUAUAAACUUAAAAAGUUUUUCCCGGGCUGGUGAGAUGGCUCAGCGGUUAAGAGCACCGACUGCUCUCCCGAAGGUCCUGAGUUCAAAUCCCAGCAACCACAUGGUGGCUCACAACCACCUGUAAUGAGAUCUGAUGCCCUCUUCUGGUGUGUCUGAAGACAGCUACAGUGUACUUACAGAUAAUAAAUAAAUAAAUCUU
This 3473-nucleotide long non-coding RNA is filed under the name Mus musculus (house mouse). Its description in RNAcentral is "long non-coding RNA chr8:33766961-33770434". Lineage: Eukaryota; Metazoa; Chordata; Mammalia; Rodentia; Muridae. The record is from RNAcentral.